This 253-nucleotide ribosomal RNA is filed under the name uncultured bacterium. Its description in RNAcentral is "partial 16S ribosomal RNA". It matches the Rfam family "Bacterial small subunit ribosomal RNA", at positions 524 to 776 of the family's 1533-position model. The record is from RNAcentral.
UACAGAGGGUGCAAGCGUUAAUCGGAAUUACUGGGCGUAAAGCGCGCGUAGGCGGUUCGUUAAGUUGGAUGUGAAAGCCCCGGGCUCAACCUGGGAACUGCAUCCGAAACUGGCGAGCUAGAGUAUGGUAGAGGGUGGUGGAAUUUCCUGUGUAGCGGUGAAAUGCGUAGAUAUAGGAAGGAACACCAGUGGCGAAGGCGACCACCCGGACUGACACUGACACUGAGGUACGAAAGCGUGGGGAGCAAACAGG